Molecule: ribosomal RNA, 505 nt
Filed under: uncultured bacterium
Lineage: Bacteria
Description: partial 16S ribosomal RNA
Rfam family: Bacterial small subunit ribosomal RNA
Source: RNAcentral
GAUGAACGCUAGCUACAGGCUUAACACAUGCAAGUCGAGGGGUAACGAGAGGGAAGCUUGCUUUCCUUGUCGACGACCGGCGCACGGGUGAGUAACGCGUAUCCAACCUGCCCCCAACUAGGGAAUAACCUUGCGAAAGUAAGACUAAUACCCUAUAAUUUCCUCAGAUGUCAUCUGACGAGGAAUAAAGAUUUAUCGGUUGUGGAUGGGGAUGCGUCUGAUUAGCUUGUUGGCGGGGUAACGGCCCACCAAGGCAACGAUCAGUAGGGGUUCUGAGAGGAAGGUACCCCACAUUGGAACUGGGACACGGUCCAAACUCCUACGGGAGGCAGCAGUGAGGAAUAUUGGUCAAUGGGCGGAAGCCUGAACCAGCCAAGUAGCGUGCAGGAUGACGGCCCUAUGGGUUGUAAACUGCUUUUAUACAGGAAUAAAGUUAGCCACGUGUGGUUAUUGUAGGUACUGUAUGAAUAAGGACCGGCUAAUUCCGUGCCAGCCGCCGCCGUAA